RNAcentral lists this ribosomal RNA (220 nucleotides) under uncultured bacterium. RNAcentral describes it as "partial 16S ribosomal RNA". It matches the Rfam family "Bacterial small subunit ribosomal RNA", at positions 57 to 305 of the family's 1533-position model. The record is from RNAcentral.
GCAAGUCGCGCGCACCCUUCGGGGCGAGCGGCGGACGGGUUAGUAACGCGUGGGAAUAUACCCAGUUCUAAGGAAUAGCCUCUGGAAACGGAGAGUAAUACCUUAUACGCCCUUUGGGGGAAAGAUUUAUCGGAGAAGGAUUAGCCCGCGUUAGAUUAGGUAGUUGGUGGGGUAAUGGCCUACCAAGUCUACGAUCUAUAGCUGGUUUGAGAGGAUGAUC